RNAcentral lists this ribosomal RNA (800 nucleotides) under uncultured bacterium. RNAcentral's name for it is "bacterial SSU rRNA". It matches the Rfam family "Bacterial small subunit ribosomal RNA", at positions 125 to 928 of the family's 1533-position model. The record is from RNAcentral.
UCUACCUUUUACAGAGGGAUAGCCCAGAGAAAUUUGGAUUAAUACCUCAUAGUAUUUUCGAAUCGCAUGAUUUGAUUAUUAAAGUUCCAACGGUAAAAGAUGAGUAUGCGUCCCAUUAGCUAGAUGGUAAGGUAACGGCUUACCAUGGCAACGAUGGGUAGGGGUCCUGAGAGGGAGAUCCCCCACACUGGUACUGAGACACGGACCAGACUCCUACGGGAGGCAGCAGUGAGGAAUAUUGGACAAUGGGCGCAAGCCUGAUCCAGCCAUGCCGCGUGCAGGAAGACGGUCCUAUGGAUUGUAAACUGCUUUUAUACAGGAAGAAACACCUCUACGUGUAGAGACUUGACGGUACUGUAUGAAUAAGCAUCGGCUAACUCCGUGCCAGCAGCCGCGGUAAUACGGAGGAUGCAAGCGUUAUCCGGAAUCAUUGGGUUUAAAGGGUCCGUAGGCGGUUUAAUAAGUCAGUGGUGAAAGCCCAUCGCUCAACGAUGGAACGGCCAUUGAUACUGUUAAACUUGAAUUAUUAGGAAGUAACUAGAAUAUGUAGUGUAGCGGUGAAAUGCUUAGAGAUUACAUGGAAUACCAAUUGCGAAGGCAGGUUACUACUAAUAUAUUGACGCUGAUGGACGAAAGCGUGGGGAGCGAACAGGAUUAGAUACCCUGGUAGUCCACGCCGUAAACGAUGGAUACUAGCUGUUCGGAGCAAUCUGAGUGGCUAAGCGAAAGUGAUAAGUAUCCCACCUGGGGAGUACGUUCGCAAGAAUGAAACUCAAAGGAAUUGACGGGGGCCCGCACAA